Non-coding RNA from Callithrix jacchus (white-tufted-ear marmoset), 9504 nucleotides. NCBI's taxonomy places the organism in Eukaryota, Metazoa, Chordata, Mammalia, Primates, Cebidae. The record is from RefSeq and is a predicted model, not a curated record.
CUGCUGGGGAGCCGGUGGCGUACGCGGUGAGGGAGCGGGGGCCGGGAGGUGCCUUCUGGCUCCGGCUGGGGCCGGCGAGAGCGCGAACGAGCGACGGCGGAAACCGCGGGCUUGUGGACGGCGGCAUCAGCGGCUAGUAGUGAGGGCCAAAAAAUGAGCCAAUGGACAAAGAAUUAUCCAGAUCCAGUUUCCAUUAUCCAGAAGUGUGGUGCUGAUGCGCUCAGGAAGAAGAAAUAGAAUUUCUCUACAGUGAGAACACGGUUAGAAAAAGCCCUAACAUUACAGACCAGUGGGAUCUUGUCCUUCAUGCAGUCUCUCAUUGGCUUCUUUCAGACUGAAAUGGCAGCUCAUAGGCUUUACACUGUGGUGCCUCGCCUUGUGGAGUUUGUACAUAUUCUCGCCAAUUGGUACAUUAGAAUGAACCGCAGAAGAUAAAAGGGUGAAAAUGGGAUGGAAGAUUGUGUCAUGGCCCUAGAAACCUUGUUUAGUGUUCUGCUUUCUCUUUGUAGACUUAUGGCUCCCUACGUGCCUUUUCUCACUGAAUUAUGUGCCAGAAUCUAAAGGUGCUGAUUGCCCCUGUUUCUUUUCAAGACAAAGACACUCUCAGCAUCCACUACCUCAUGCUUCCCCGUGUUCGAGAAGAAUUGGUUGAUAAGAAAACAGUGCAAUAUCUCGGAUGCAGUCUGUGAUUGAAGUUGAAUGAGUGAUCAGAGACCGGAACACUAUUCCCAUAAAGUAUCCUUUGAAAGAAAUUGUGGUUAUCCAUCAAGAUCCAGAAGCUCUUAGAGAUAUCACGUCUUUGGAGAAGUGUGUCAUUGAGUAUAGGAAUUGAAUGUUCAAAAAGUUACACUGUCUACAGAUAAAAAUAAGGACGGCAUUCGGCUAAGGGCAGAACCAGAUCACAUGGUCCUGGCGAAGCAUCUGAAGAGAGCCUUUAAGGCAGUGAUGAUGACGUCCAUCAAGCAGCUGAGCAGUGAGGAGCUGGAGCAGUUCCAAAAGACUGAUGGAGUCUCGCUCUGUCACCCAGAAUGGAGUGCAAUGGUGCAUCUCGGCUUACUGGAACGUCCCCCUCCCGGGGUCAAGCAAUGCUCCUGCCUCAGCCUCCCAGGUAACUGGGAUUACAGGCACUCACCGCCACACCUGGCUAAUUUUUGUAUUUUUUAGUAGAGACAGGGUUUCGCCACAUUAGCCACUCUGGUCUCAAACUCCCAACCUCAGGUGAUCCGCCCACCUCAGCUUUUCAAAGUGCUGGGAUUACAGGUGUGAGCCACCACACCCAGCCCCCACAUCUUCUCAUUUUGUCUGCUGACAUGUUCACAGCACUCAGACUAUCAAACUGUCCAGUACCAGGGUUCAGGAGAAGCUGCCUUUAUGGCCCACACAGCUUGGGAUUAAUAUGACAUAGGAGAUGAGGACCACACACUCCAUAAACUCCAAUGCUAGUCUACUACCCUAUCUGGUUUCCCAGGCAGCUAACUUGGCAUGGGAUAGAGUUUUAAAGUGUUUAUCUCAUAUUUUAUCCUGAACCUUCAUAUAGCUACUAUUCAGAUUACUUUCUGAAACCCUCUUAAAGGCUCAUCAAGUGAUAUUUAAUUCACCAUCAAUUUCCUCUUAUUAUUUAUUUCAACAUUAGACUAGAGAACAGAUUGCAUUUUUACCUUGAAUUUAAAGACAUAGAGAAUCGGAGCAAAAGUCUCUGUGUGUGCAAUGGAUGCAUCAUGGCCAAGACCCGUCACAAUUGUCGGUUCUACAUAAUUUCCAGGGCGAUCCAUAACCUAAAACAGAGAAUUGAAAUAAAAAGAAUGGAAGCAUUUCGUUUUCUAGUACUUGGGGUCAGAGGACACAAUCUUUGCCUACACUCACAAAGAAAAAAUUAGCAUCAUUUAUAGGUGAAUUAUUUCUCCAAAAUAAUUUCCUGUCAUGAAUGAAGAUUCUUUCUUCUUGGUAUUGAUUCUAACUUAGUUGGUUAGAGAAAAAUGUAAAUAAGGAGUCAGGCAGGGAUGGAGAGCCAUGCCAUGUGACACAACCACGUUAUCUUGAACAAACAUUGUUGCAAGUGGUUAUUUUAAUAUUUACAUAAUUUAAAUAUCUAUUGUGUGUUAUAGAUUGAAUUGUAUUCCCCCCAAAAUUGACAUCUGGAAUCCCUAAUAUUCAGUGUGACUAUAUUUGGAGAUAGGCCCUUGAAGGAGGAAGGUUAAACAAGGUCAUAUGGGUGGGGUCCUAAUCCAACAGGACUAGUGUCCUUUUGGUUUUGUUUGCUUUUUUUUUGAGAUAAAGUCUUGCUCUUGGUUCACUACAACCUCCAUCUCCCGGGUUCAAGCCAUCCUCCCACCUAAGCCUCCCAAGUAGCUGGGACUACAGGCAUGCACCACCACGUCCAUCUAAUUUUUUUCUUUUUUUUGUAUUUUUGGUAGAGUCCAGGUUUCACCAUUUUGGCAAGGCUGGUCUUGAACUCCUAACCUCAAAUGAUCUACCUGUCUCAGCUUUCCAGAGUGCUGUGAUUACAGGUGUGAGCCACCAUGCCUGGCCACAAACAAAUCUUUAUAUGUGUGGGGUUGUUUUUGAUUUGGUUUUUUGAUUUUUGAGACAGGGUCUUGCUUUAUUGCCCACGUUGCGGUACAAUGAUGUCAUCAUGACUCAUUGCAGCCUCAAGUGAUCCUCCCACCUCAGCCUCACAAGUAGUUAGCACUACACGUGCAAGCAACCCCACUCGGCUUUUUUUUUUUUGGGUAGAGACAGGGUCUAUGAUGUCCAGGAGGGUCUUAAACUCCUGGCCUCAAGCAAUUCUCCCACCACAGCCUCCAAACUGCUGAGAUUACAGGUGCAAGCUACUGCACCCAGCAAUAUGUGUUAAUUUGUUUUAAUACUUACAGUAUGUAUUUUUUUAUUCCUUGCCUUAAUGACUUUUUAAGAUUACCAAUAAAUAGAUUCUAAUUGCUCUGAAUACAAAGUCUCCGACUGUGCUAUGAAAAGGAAUUCUCCUUUCCAUACAAAUAUUUAGGGACCCAAUUCAAAAGCAACCAUGACUCAGUUUCUUCUAUGUCCUUCCAGAAAUGUCCCAUGCAUUUUUUUCUGUUGCUUUUAAAAUAUGGAAUGCUUCAUGAAUUUGCAUAUCAUCCUUGUGCAUAGGCCAUCUGCUAAUCUUCUCUGUAACAUUCCAAUUUUAGUAUAUGUGCUGUCAAAGCAAGCACUGUUGUCAUUCUUUAAAACAUGUAUUUCUGGCCAGGUGUGGUGGCUCACACCUGUAAUCCCAGCACUUUGGGAGGCUAAGGCAGGCAGAUCAUGAGGUGAGGAGUUCCAGACCAGCCUGGCCAACAUGGUGAAACACCUUCUCUACUAAAAGUACAAAAAUUAGCUGGGUGCGGUGGCAGGAGCCUGUAAUCCCAACUACUUGGGAGGCUGAGACAGGAGAAUCAUGUCUCACGGGACUCCAGUCUGGGCAAGAUAGUGAGACUCAGUCACAAAAAAACAAACAAGCAAACAAAACCAUGUAUUUCUGGCCAGUCAUGGUGGCUCAUGCCUGUAAUCCCAAUACUUUGGGAGGCUGAGGUGGGUGAAUCACCCGAGUUCAGGAGUUCAAGACCAGCCUGGGCAACAUGGCAAAACCCCAUUUCUACCAAAAAUAGAAACAGUGGUCAGGGGUGGUGAUGUCACCUGUAGUCCCAGCUACUAAGGAGGCUGAAGUGGGAGGAUUGCUUUAGUGCAGGAGGCAGAGGUUGCAGUGAUCCAAGAUCAAGCACCACUGCACUCCAGCAUGGGCAGCAGAAGAAGAACCUGUCACAAAAACAAACAGGGUCAUGUGUGGUGGCUCAUGCCUGUAAUACCAACACAUGGGGAGGGCAAGGUGGGUAGAUCACUUGAGGCCAGGAGUUGGAGACCAGCCUGGCUAACAUGGGAAACGCCAUCUCUACCAAAAAAUGCAAAAAUUAGCUGGGUAUGGGGACAUGCGCCUGUAAUCCAGCCACUUGGGAGGCUGAAGCAGGAGAAUCACUUGAACCCGAGAAGCAGAAGUUGCAGUGAACUGAGAUCAUGCCACAGAACUCCAGCUUGGGUGACACAGUGAUACUCUGCCUCAAAAGCAAAAAACAAACAAAAACAUGUAUUUCCACUUAAAAUAAAAACAGGAAAAGAAGGAUGUCAAAUGGGGUCACUUUCCCAAUAUGCCCAGAGCCCUGCUUGUGUCUAAGGAAAAAGGUUAAAAAGCUGUUAGACUGAUCUCAGAGCAUCCCUUACCUUGCCCCCAUAGACCACUGUGCCACCUUCUUUCUUUGCUUCUUCCACUGCUCCAAGAAACAUGCCCACUGCCUGUUUAGUGUGGAGUGGCCCAUAGAGAACAUUAGCUGGGGAGAGAAAAGGAAGGCUGGCUCAUCAUUUUGCUCUUUAUGGCAUCAUUUUAUUAUUAGAUCAGAUUUCUCAAUGAAUGACCAAUCCUUUCCUAUAUGCUCUCAGUUGAGAACAUAAGUCAGCAUUCUUUUUCCAUAAAGAACCAGAUGGUAAAUAUUUUAUGCUUUGGAGGAUGUACGUGGUCUCCAUCACAAUACUCAACUGUGUCAUUGUAGUGCAAAAGCAGCCACAAAUUACAUGCAAAUAAGUAGGUAUGGCUAUGUGCCAUGAAACCUGCUUUACAGAAACAGGCAGGACCAAGUCUGUUUGCCAAUCUCUACUUUAAAGGAAUGGAUAUCAAUUAAUCAAAGCACUGUACUCAAAAAUAUAGGAUCAGUUUACUCAUUACAGUGUGACCAUUCUCUAAGGAACCAUCACAGUCAGCAAUUGGUGCAUAAUUCAAGGGGGAAGAGAAUGAUGCUGUCCUAUGUUAUGGCUGCUGGAGACUAGAGCACUGACAGUGACCCAGUGACAGAGGAAGAAGGAAGCUGUAGGUAGGCCUCUAUGAGGAGGAGGCAUGUUAGAAAAGCCAUUUCCACCCUGGGUGAAGAAUGUUUCCAGGAGACAGCACAGCACAGCAGGACAGAGCCUGGCACGGCUGAAACACUGAAAGGAGGUUGGAGAGGAUGGAACUCUGAAAGCAAGUGGGAAAAUGGUCACAGGAUGGCUGGUGAGAAGGCAAGCAGGGCAGGAGGCAGACAGCAGACCAUCAAGGAUCGGGAGCCUGAGAAAAAGAAGCAAUACUCUAGGUUUUAAUCUAAAAGCAGGCCUGGCUCAAUGGCUCACACCUGUAAUCCUAGCACUUUGGGAGGCCAAGGGAGGCAGAUCAUUUCAGGUCAGGAGUUUGAGACCAGCCUGCCCAACAAAAUGAAACGCUGUCUCCACUAAAAAUAGAAAAAUCAGUCGGGCAUGGUGACACACACCUGUGAUCACAGCUACUUAGGAGGCUAAGGCAGGAGAAUUGCUUGAACCCAAGAGACAGAGGUUGCAGUGAGCUGAGAUCACACCACUGCAUUCCAGCUUGAGCAGCAGAGUAAAACCACAUCCCAAAAUAACGAAAACAAAUCUAAAAGCAAUGAGAAGUAUUUUAUGCAGGAGAGUGAAUUAUCUAAAAAUCACUCUGUAGCAAUACAUGCAGAAGGGUCAGUUAGGGGACUCUUAAAGCCAUCCACAAGAGGGAUAGGGUUGGCUUGGACUAGGGUAAUAGUAAUGAGAGAGAAGCUCACUAAAUCUCAUCCCAUCUAAAUAACCUCUCCUAGUCUCACUCACCAGCCCACAUGAAGCACCCAGAGUCAAAACCUAGGAGGAGACACGAUACCCCAAAGCCUAAUAAUCUGUUCCAUGUGCCUUCAGGCCUCUCUGGGAAGGGAAAGAAACUCCAAAACUCAGAUCAGAAACAUUUGUAAACAACAGCUAUCAAAAACGGAUCUUUGGAAAACAGAAGGAGAUACUCACAGUCCCAUGGGUUCCCAACUCGGAUCUGUGAAUAGGCCUUUUUCAGUCUGUUUACGACCUCAUCGUGGAUGCUUUCAUGCACAAACUAAGCAAAAAAAGAGGUAUUUGAGGGCACAGUACGAUGAAUGUACACAAUUUUAAACAAUGAAUAAUAUUAUUGAAAGUUAUUGAAAUAUGGUAAUCUCUAAAAACAAGCAAAUCAAAGCACAUUUUAUUUAUAAUCAUAUUAUUUCUCAUUUUAAUAUUAACUAUAUAAAGUUUAAAAUUUCCUUUUAGGUAGAUGUUAGAAUAAAAUCAUAAGCCAUGUUUUGUUUUUGUGGUUUUUUUUGAGACAGAGUCUCACUCUGUCACCCAAGCUAAAGAAGUGCAGUGGUGCAAUCUCACUUCAUUGCAACCUCCACCUCCCAGGUUCAAGUGAUUCUCAUACCUCAGCCUUCCAAGUGGCUGGGAUUACAGGCACCCACUACCAUGCCUGGCUAAUUUUUUGUAUUUUUAGUAGAGAUGGGCUUUCGCCAUGUUGGCCAGGUUGGUCUGGAACUCCUGACCUCAGUGAUCCAUCCACCUCGGCCUCCCAAAGUGCUGGGAUUAUAGGCAUAAGCCACUGCACCCUGUCCAUAAGCCAUGUCUUUAUCAAGUUUCCAAGGAUGUAUUUGGCUAAACUUCACAAAUACAUUAAAGAAGGCCUCAAGUACAUCUGUCCCAUACUGUAACUCUAAGUCUCAGUGAAUGCAGAGCACAGUGGUAACUAACUGUGCUUGGCAACUACAAACACUUAGCUCCAGGCCACAAAGGUCUCUAGAAGAGGCCUUAAUUAGGUGAGGAUAACCCUUGCACUCUCUGGGUAGUUGUGAGGUCCAUGCUAUGCUCCUAGUGGCAGAGCUGAACUUGCCAAACCAUCUAUUCUCUGAGAUAGUCUCCAUGUGAUGAAUGAAUUGACAUUUCGAGAACUAGUCAUGAAGCAGCCCACAGUAUUGGAAUUUUUAUAUAUAUGUAUACACACAAACAUAUACGCUGCUAACUCUAAGGAAAUCUAUUUGAACAAUGGCUAAUAUUAUCUAUUAAUAUUUAACACUAAUAUAAAGGACAUCUGUUAAUAUUUGCUCCAAAACACACACAAAAAAUAAAACUUGGCUGAAUAGUGAAAUAUUUGGCUUUCAUGUCAAUUCAUAUUUUACCAUGUAAUGAAGGGUAUAACCAUUUGGAGUACAUCGUUUUCUCUUAGCUUUAAUAUAAUCUUUAAUGGCAAUUUAAUGUGUAUGAUGAACAAAUUUAAUAAACUGUAACGUUACAAAUAUAGUAUCCAAUUUUUUAAGACUGUCAGCUACGUAAAAAUAAAGAUUUAUUUUCAUUUGUGCAAAACACCUGAAAAAAGUAUAAAAAUUGUGAGAGGCAAAAAAAAAAAAAAAAAAGAAGAAAAUUGUGAGAGGCUGGGCACAGUGGCUGACACCUAUAAUCCCAGCACUUUGGGAGGCCAAGGCAGGCAGAUUACCUGGGGUCAGGAGUUUCAGACCAGCCUGGUAAACAUGGCAAAAUUUUGUCUCUUCUAAAAAUACAAAAAUUAGCCAGGCAUGGUGGUGGGCACCUGGAGUCCCAGCUACGUGGGAGGCUGAGGCAGGAGAAUUGCUUGAACUUGGGAGGUGAAGGUUGUGGUGAGCUGAGAUCAUGCCACUGCACUGUACCCUUGCCAACAGAGAAAGAUUCCAUCUCGAGAGAAAAAAAAAGAGAAAAGUGUGAGAAAGGUAAAUUUCUUUUUUUUUUUUUGAGACGGAGUUUUGCUCUUGUUUACCCGGGCUGGAGUGCAAUGGCGCAAUCUCAGCUCACCGAAACCUUUGCCUCCUGGGUUCAGGCAAUUCUCCUGCCUCAGCCUCCUGAGUAGCUGGGAUUACAGGCACGCGCCAAGAUGCCCAGCUAAUUUUUUGUAUUUUUAGUGGAGAUAGGGUUUCACCUUGUUGACCAGGAUGGUCUCAAUCCCUUGACCUCAUGAGCCACCAUGCCCGGCGGUAAAGAUAAAUUUCGUAUAUCUUUUAGCUUAUUUGAAUCAAUUUAGAUGUCAGUCUUAUAAAGAAUUUGUUCACACUCAUUGUGAAUCAGAGCAAAAGCCCAAAGCCAAUUCCUUAAUAAUUCAACUGAAGUCCUUUUUUAUUACUAAAGGAAAACUCAACAAUAAAAAUUGGCUUAAGUUCAAAAGAGCUAAAAAUAAUUUUUUUAAAUUGUAAAUGCAGCCAAAUUUUGUACCUAACUAAAACUUGGUCAGGGCGGGGCAUGGCAGCUCCUGCCUAUAAUCCCAGCACUCUGGGAGGCCAAGGUGGGUGGAUCAUUCACCUUGAACUCCUGAGGUUAGGAGUUCAAGACCAGCCUGGCCAACAUGGUGAAACCUCAUCUCUACUAAAAAUACAAAAAUUAGCCAGGAAUGGUGGUACACACCUAUAAUCCCAGCUACUCAGGAGGCUGAGGCAGGAGAAUUACUUGAACCCAGGAGGUGGAGGUUACAGUGAGCAAUAUCGCACCACUACACUCCAGCCUGGUGAUAGAGAAAAACUCUGUCUCAAAAAACAAAAAAAAAACUUGCUGAGUUAUUGUAUAGUCUUUUCGUACCAUAAAGUCAUGAAAAUCAAAGUUGUAACACAUACUAAACUGAAAUCCAGCUCAAUCUUAAGUAUAGAGAUUAAACUUCCCAAAUCCCACACUGAAGCUAAACCGUAUCUCCCCUUAUAUACACUUAAUGUUAAUCUGUCGUCUCUAUAUAUAUGUAUGCAGACUACAUAUGUAUAUAGAGAAGUCUCGGGUAUACAGAAUCAUAUGCUUUUCAAUGAAUCAUGUCAUUUCAAGUCAAAGCUAAGACUAGACUUCAGGCUAAAAAUUAAAAUGUUUAUUGAUUGAUUGGUUGAGACAGGAUGUUGGCCUGUUUCCAGGGCUGGAGAACAGUGGUGCAGUCACGGCUCAUUGCAGCCUCCUUGUCCUGGGCUCUACCAGUCCCCCUGCCUCAGCCUCCCAAGUAUAUGUGGCUGGGACUACAAGCAUAAGCCAUCAUGCCUGGCUAAUGUUUUUUAACUUUUUGUAGAGACAGGGUAUCGCUAUGUUGCCCAAGCUGGUCUCGAACUACUGGGCUCAAGCAAUCAUCCUGCCUUGGCCUCCCAAAAUGCUGGAAUUACGUGUUUGAGCCACCGUGCCCAGCCUAAAAUGCUUUACUACUUAAAAUGUUUUUACAAAAGAGCAAGACUCUAUUUUUAGCUAAUAGUUUAAUAAUUUUUAACAUUUUUACCUUGUUUUAUUCUCUAAGUUACAUUGGACUUUUUCCACAUUGUUCUGGGAAUAGGACUGAAAAUAGUUCUCAUCUCCUAGUCCAACUCCAAUCAACUGGUGGUGGAACCCCUAUUAGCUUGGGGUAGAAAAAAGCCAAAGUCCCUGAUUGACUAACAACAUCUGCCAACUGGGCCACAUAUUUGUCAGCCGCAUCUAGAGAGCACGUUGUUAUAGCAGUAUUGCUGACACCUCCCUAACAGCAGACCUCAUUAACAAGUAGUGUUUAAGAGCAAGACAAGCUCACGGGCCUAUGCAGACAUACUCACCAGUCGCCUCGCAGUGGUACACCUCUGGCCAGCUGUUCCCACAGCAGCGAAGAGAGCUGAUGGAACAACUAAAUUGAGGUCUGCAUCUUCGAAGGCU